Molecule: non-coding RNA, 390 nt
Organism: Fukomys damarensis (Damara mole-rat)
Lineage: Eukaryota; Metazoa; Chordata; Mammalia; Rodentia; Bathyergidae
Source: the annotation of a RefSeq genome assembly
AUCAGAGAAAGCAACGUGAGGCCAACACUGAAGAUGGUGAUGCUUCUGUUGCUUCUGGGGCCAAGCUUCGGACUUUGUGCUCUAGUCUCUCAGCUUCCAAGCAGGGCCAUCUGUAAGAGUGGGUCCUCUGUGAAGAUUCAGUGUCGCUGUGUGGACUUUCAAGCCACAACCGUGAUUUGGUACCGUCAGUUCCCAGAACAGAGUUUCACUCGGAUGGCGAUUUCUAAUGAGGGCUCCGGUGUCACCUAUGAAACUGGUUUUGAAAGGGCCAAGUUUCCCAUCAGCCACCCUAACCUAACCUUUGCAACUCUUACGGUGACAAGCACGGUUCCAGAAGACAGCAGCUUCUACUUCUGUGGUGCUAGUGACACAGCACUUGGUAGAAAUUAG